Molecule: ribosomal RNA, 411 nt
Filed under: Bacillus sp. BNJ_PKRS_2
Lineage: Bacteria; Bacillati; Bacillota; Bacilli; Caryophanales; Bacillaceae
Description: partial 16S ribosomal RNA
Rfam family: Bacterial small subunit ribosomal RNA (bases 1-326)
Source: RNAcentral
UGGAUUGAGAGCUUGCUCUNAUGAAGUUAGCGGCGGACGGGUGAGUAACACGUGGGUAACCUGCCCAUAAGACUGGGAUAACUCCGGGAAACCGGGGCUAAUACCGGAUAACAUUUUGAAACUGCAUGGUUUCGAAAAUUGAAAGGCGGCUUUCGGCUGUCCACUUUAUGGAUGGNACCCGCGUCGCNAUUAGCUUAGUUGNGUGGAGGUUAACGGGCUCACCCAAGGCNAACGUAUGCGNUAGCCGNACCNUGGAGAGGGUGNAUCGGCCCACAACUGGGNACUGAGACACGGGCCCCAGAACUCCUACGGGGAAGGGCAGNCAGUAGGGGGNAAUCCUUCCCGCCAAAUGGGGACGAAAGUCCUUGAACGGGAGCCAACGCCCGCCCGGUGAAGUUGGAUUGAAAGGGC